This 86-nucleotide transfer RNA is filed under the name Dehalococcoidia bacterium. Its description in RNAcentral is "tRNA-Leu". It matches the Rfam family "tRNA". From Rfam's summary of the family: Transfer RNA (tRNA) molecules are approximately 80 nucleotides in length. Their secondary structure includes four short double-helical elements and three loops (D, anti-codon, and T loops). Further hydrogen bonds mediate the characteristic L-shaped molecular structure. tRNAs have two regions of fundamental functional importance: the anti-codon, which is responsible for specific mRNA codon recognition, and the 3' end, to which the tRNAs corresponding amino acid is attached (by aminoacyl-tRNA synthetases). tRNAs cope with the degeneracy of the genetic code in two manners: having more than one tRNA (with a specific anti-codon) for a particular amino acid; and 'wobble' base-pairing, i.e. permitting non-standard base-pairing at the 3rd anti-codon position. Lineage: Bacteria; Bacillati; Chloroflexota; Dehalococcoidia. The record is from RNAcentral.
GCCGAGGUGGCGGAACGGUAGACGCGGCGGACUUAAAAUCCGCUACCCUUGCGGGUGUGUAGGUUCGAGUCCUAUCCUCGGCACCA